Molecule: transfer RNA, 78 nt
Filed under: Escherichia coli
Lineage: Bacteria; Pseudomonadati; Pseudomonadota; Gammaproteobacteria; Enterobacterales; Enterobacteriaceae
Description: tRNA-Gly
Rfam family: tRNA
About the family: Transfer RNA (tRNA) molecules are approximately 80 nucleotides in length. Their secondary structure includes four short double-helical elements and three loops (D, anti-codon, and T loops).
Source: RNAcentral
GCGGGAAUAGCUCAGUUGGUAGAGCACGACCUUGCCAAGGUCGGGGGGUCGCGAGUUCGAGUCUCGUUUCCCGCUCCA